CAACAAAUGUACCAUUCCUCAACAAUACUAGUGUUACCACUGAACAGUCUUCUAUGCAUUCAAGCAAGUGUUCUGAGCAACCUCGGACACACCUCUGAGUCUGAGACCAACCAGCUGACAGUCCCCCAAAGAUAAUGUCAGACAAAGCAUUGCCUGGGUUAGCGCUAAUAAUAGAGAUGAGUGAUGUAUUUUAUUAUGUAAACUGUAAACUCUUGAGUAUUUUUGACAGGAAAUUGCCAAAUUCAGAAACUAACAGAAGAAAACUGAAAAAUGAGAACUACAGAAAAGUAGGGAAGUAUUUGUCAUAUGCAAACCAGAAGAAAGAACAUGUAGAUAUGUUUUGAGCGUAUCUUUGGAAGUGUAUGCCAUGUACGCUGUCCAGCAACAAAUGGCAGAAAAAUGGUGACAUGAAAGAAAAAUUUAAAUGUCAGGGGUGAGGAUGUAGCUUAGUGGUAGAGCACAUGCUUAGCAUUCACAAGGACCUGGUUCAUGUAUACACACACACACACACACACUCAAAACCUCCCUUAAAAUAUUCAAAUGGCCAGUCAUGAUGGCACACUCCUCUAAUCCCAGCUACUUGGGAGACUGAGGCAAGAGGAUAGCAAGUUCAAGGCCAGUCUUGACAACUUAGCA
This 636-nucleotide long non-coding RNA is filed under the name Marmota monax (woodchuck). Lineage: Eukaryota; Metazoa; Chordata; Mammalia; Rodentia; Sciuridae. The record is from RNAcentral.